AGCUCCAAUAGCGUAUAUUAAAGUUGUUGCAGUUAAAAAGCUCGUAGUUGGAUUUCUGGCAGAGUGACUUCAACCAUCUGAUGAUUGGUGAAAGCGCUUUACCAUCCUUCGGUUAACCUUCACGGGAUUCACUUUCUGCGCUGGGGCUCCGAUAUUUUACCUUGAGAAAAUUAGAGUGUUUCAGGCAGGCUAUCGCCGGAAUACAUUAGCAUGGAAUAAUGGAAAAGGACUUCUACCUCUUCUGUUGGUCUGGGAGGCAGUAGUAAUGAUUAAUAGGGAUAGUUGGGGGCAUUAGUACUUAACUGUCAGAGGUGAAAUUCUCCGAUUUGUUAAAGACUAACUUAUGCGAAAGCAUUUGCCAAGGAUGUUUUCA
This 373-nucleotide ribosomal RNA is filed under the name uncultured eukaryote. RNAcentral's name for it is "SSU rRNA". It matches the Rfam family "Eukaryotic small subunit ribosomal RNA", at positions 587 to 972 of the family's 1831-position model. The record is from RNAcentral.